Molecule: ribosomal RNA, 253 nt
Filed under: uncultured bacterium
Lineage: Bacteria
Description: partial 16S ribosomal RNA
Rfam family: Bacterial small subunit ribosomal RNA
Source: RNAcentral
CACGUAGGCACCAAGCGUUGUCCGGAUUUAUUGGGCGUAAAGAGCUUGUAGGCGGUUUGUCGCGUCUGCUGUGAAAAUCCGGGGCUCAACCCCGGACUUGCAGUGGGUACGGGCAGACUAGAGUGUGGUAGGGGAGACUGGAAUUCCUGGUGUAGCGGUGAAAUGCGCAGAUAUCAGGAGGAACACCGAUGGCGAAGGCAGGUCUCUGGGCCACUACUGACGCUGAGAAGCGAAAGCGUGGGGAGCGAACAGG